AGAUGUGGGUGUUUGGUUAUGGGUCCCUCAUUUGGAAGGUGGACUUCCCCUACCAGGACAAGCUGGUUGGUUACAUCACAAACUACAGCCGGCGCUUCUGGCAAGGCAGCACCGACCACCGCGGGGUCCCCGGCAAGGGGAACCCUCUGCUACAAACACCAGUCCCAGGAACCUGAGACAGAAAGCUCACCAGAAAUUCAAGCCUGGAAGAGUUGUGACCCUUGUUGAAGAUCCUGGGGGCAGUGUAUGGGGUGUUGCUUACAAACUACCAGUCGGGAAAGAAGAGGAAGUAAAAACAUACCUUGACUUCAGAGAGAAAGGAGGCUACAGAACUACAACAGUCAUUUUUUAUCCAAAAGAUUCCACAACAAAACCAUUCAGUGUUUUGCUCUACA
Molecule: long non-coding RNA, 395 nt
Filed under: Rattus norvegicus (Norway rat)
Lineage: Eukaryota; Metazoa; Chordata; Mammalia; Rodentia; Muridae
Description: long non-coding RNA NONRATT010222
Source: RNAcentral